Molecule: long non-coding RNA, 431 nt
Organism: Bubalus bubalis (water buffalo)
Lineage: Eukaryota; Metazoa; Chordata; Mammalia; Artiodactyla; Bovidae
Exons: 3
Source: RefSeq, a predicted model, not a curated record
CCUUCCAUUUCCUAAAAGACUUUUAAAAUGAAAAUCUUUGCUGAUUAACUCCUAGGAAUUCAUUGAUUGGCCCAAGAUGCAUCCAUAUCUACUGUUUUAGGUGAAUUAUACCAUUGGCAGAGAAACUAGAGCGAAGCCCACAGGUGUGCCUGACGGAACCAAGAUCGUGAAGAGUAGUCAAGAGCUCAUGUAUUACUUGUAUGAUAAAAGUAAAAAACAAAAGCAAACAGGUAAUCUGGUGAGCAGCUGAGACAGAAUGUCUGGGUUCCCAUUGAGUGGCUGAUGGAGGAUUGAAGAAGAAGAUGCUCUGGUCUCAAACCUAGAGGGGAUCUUCCUGACCCAGGGAUUGAACCCAAGUUUCCUGCAUUAGCAAGAGGAUUCUUUCACCACUGAGCCACCGGGUAGGAACUAAAUACUUUGUAUUUGUUGAA